AGAUGCACGCGCGCUCCCGCGGCCAGGGGAUACAAAUCCUGGCGGGGAUAGUAGCCUACCUUGGCACGACACCGGCAAAUUAACGUUAAAUGGAAGUAUUUGCUGCACCAGUGAUGUCCACACAGGUUAGAGCUGUGUUUAUUUCCUCAGCUCCUGUCAGUGAGACAACAUUUUGGGCUAUAUUCUAUGAAGAAAACAGUAGCUUCAGACAUGUUUGAGGUCUUGAAGAUCAAUGCUGAGUGUGUGGCUUUGAAGGUCCUGCUUACUUCAAGCAAUUAGGUCCCCUGAGGCAGGUGCAUAUCUCGCGGAGAGGAUGAUGGGAGGUCAUGCUGUAAAGAAGGUACAGUACGUGUCAGAAAGGACUUCAAAGAACACCUGUGAAAAGAGAGAUGUCUUUUUAAGGGGCUGUGUUGUCCAGGAACCCCUAGGCUAAGGCAAGGGAUAUACAUAAUUAGAAAGAUCCAAUGGGAUAGGACUUAAAUGCUGAA
Sander lucioperca (pikeperch) is the source of this 488-nucleotide long non-coding RNA. RefSeq lists it as uncharacterized. Lineage: Eukaryota; Metazoa; Chordata; Actinopteri; Perciformes; Percidae. The record is from RefSeq and is a predicted model, not a curated record. The transcript has 3 exons.